This 452-nucleotide unclassified non-coding RNA is filed under the name Hevea brasiliensis (rubber tree). The record is from RNAcentral. Lineage: Eukaryota; Viridiplantae; Streptophyta; Magnoliopsida; Malpighiales; Euphorbiaceae.
ACUGGAUAUCAAAAGGAUCUGGAGCUUCAAAAACUGGGGAAGAAAAUAAGGUGAAGUAAAUGCAAUUAGCCUUGCAUCCAUUGCUGCCUGUGGCCUAGGCUUCAUCUUCUCUCAAUCUAUUCACAUAUGGCAGCACAAGUUGGACGCCUGAAAAAGGCCAAGAAGUACAAAUCUCCAUAGGAAGAUAGCGAUCAAGAUUAGAAGAUCCGAUGCCAUAGAGACCACCUUGUCAUCCGAUUAACUGAGAAUAAGAAGUAUUUAGGCUGAAAUUUUGGGGAAAAAAAAAUUAAGAUUUUAAUAAUAACUAGGGAAUGUAAGUAGGGGUGAACAUUAUUCGAUUUGAAUCGAAUAUAUCGCAUGGAAUCGCCAUAAUUCAGUAAUUGAGUUAGGUUUUCAAGAUGAUUCAAUUUGGUUUAGUUUUGUAUUUUAAGAAUUUUGAUUAUUUCGGUUCG